UCCAUCGUUAGGUGGAAUCUGAAGGAAGCCGGAGGCAAAGUCCCGACUCGAUGAACAAUAACCUCAUAUGAGGCUGACUUGAGGUGGACGAGUUUGAUACACAAAACAAAGUCCAACACUACCAGAACCUCAUGCAGUAAAUGUGGCGAUUAUAUAGGACGAAAGCGGUCGCU
RNAcentral lists this non-coding RNA (173 nucleotides) under Caloramator proteoclasticus DSM 10124. Lineage: Bacteria; Bacillati; Bacillota; Clostridia; Eubacteriales; Clostridiaceae. The record is from RNAcentral.